UACAGAGGUCCCAAGCGUUACUGAGAAUCACUGGGUUUAAAGGGUGCGUAGGUGGUCCGUUAAGUCAGUUGUGAAAUCCCCGGGCUCAACCCGGGAACUGCUUCUGAUACUGGCGGACUUGAAUCCGGGAGAGGGAUGCGGAAUUCCAGGUGUAGCGGUGAAAUGCGUAGAUAUCGGGAGGAACACCUGUGGCGAAAGCGGCGCACUGGACCACAACUGACGCUGAGGCGCGAAAGCUAGGGGAGCAAACAGG
This 253-nucleotide ribosomal RNA is filed under the name uncultured bacterium. Its description in RNAcentral is "partial 16S ribosomal RNA". It matches the Rfam family "Bacterial small subunit ribosomal RNA", at positions 524 to 776 of the family's 1533-position model. The record is from RNAcentral.